RNAcentral lists this ribosomal RNA (253 nucleotides) under uncultured bacterium. Its description in RNAcentral is "partial 16S ribosomal RNA". It matches the Rfam family "Bacterial small subunit ribosomal RNA", at positions 524 to 776 of the family's 1533-position model. The record is from RNAcentral.
UACGGAGGUUGCAAGCGUUAUCCGGAUUUAUUGGGUUUAAAGGGUGCGUAGGCGGAUUUGUAAGUCAGUGGUGAAAUCCUGCAGCUUAACUGUAGAACUGCCAUUGAUACUGCUAAUCUUGAGUACAAUUGAGGUAGGCGGAAUGUGUAGUGUAGCGGUGAAAUGCUUAGAUAUUACACAGAACACCGAUUGCGAAGGCAGCUUACUAAACUGUAACUGACGCUGAGGCACGAAAGCAUGGGGAGCAAACAGG